Molecule: ribosomal RNA, 419 nt
Filed under: uncultured bacterium
Lineage: Bacteria
Description: bacterial SSU rRNA
Rfam family: Bacterial small subunit ribosomal RNA
Source: RNAcentral
UGGGGAAUAUUGCACAAUGGGCGAAAGCCUGAUGCAGCAACGCCGCGUGAAGGAAGAAGGGUUUCGGCUCGUAAACUUCUAUCAACAGGGACGAAGGAAGUGACGGUACCUGAAUAAGAAGCCCCGGCUAACUACGUGCCAGCAGCCGCGGUAAUACGUAGGGGGCAAGCGUUAUCCGGAAUUACUGGGUGUAAAGGGUGAGUAGGCGGCAUGGUAAGCCAGAUGUGAAAGCCUUGGGCUUAACCCGAGGAUUGCAUUUGGAACUAUCAAGCUAGAGUACAGGAGAGUAAAGCGGAAUUCCUAGUGUAGCGGUGAAAUGCGUAGAUAUUAGGAAGAACACCAGUGGCGAAGGCGGCUUUCUGGACUGAAACUGACGCUGAGGCACGAAAAGCGUGGGGAGCGAACAGGAUUAGAUACCC